Mirounga angustirostris (Northern elephant seal) is the source of this 1150-nucleotide long non-coding RNA. RefSeq lists it as uncharacterized. The transcript has 4 exons. NCBI's taxonomy places the organism in Eukaryota, Metazoa, Chordata, Mammalia, Carnivora, Phocidae. The record is from RefSeq and is a predicted model, not a curated record.
AUCACACUCUUAGCCCAUAGAGCUCCUCCGAACUUCUCUGGCACUGUCUUAUUAAGGGGAGCCAUGUCUGGGUAGAACUGUAAGUGAUUCUUCCCCUUUAUUGGGGAGCAGUGGCUUUCAAGUCCCCAGCUCCUGAUCUCUCAUUUCCUCCCCUACCCUCAGUCAAUGCUGAAUUCCUUUCAGCAACACUGAUUGGGAAACAAACUCUCAACCAAUGAGGCGAUGAAAUGUCAAGGCAAAGAGAUUCUAUAAACUGUGGAGCUCUAGAGGGUCACAAAUGGACAGGUUAGCCUGAAAAAGAAGUGUAGGCUGAGGAAGAUAUAUACCCAUGAAUGUGACAGGAAUUGUUUUCCCUUUCAGGAAAUAAGCGAGAGUGCCCCAGGAAAGUUCUGAGAAGACUACUGUCAAUGAUAUCUGGUCUAAUUCAUUGGACCAUAUAAACUUAGGAGCCCCAGCCCAGGUCACAGGAAGAGUGUGAGGUUGCCACGGGCAUUCCUGGAAAAACCUGGAGACCUCCGGCGCCACCUCAAAUCCUAAAACGCACAGAAGAGACUCAUUUUGCCUGCCUGCUUCCUUGCUGGAGCUCCAUAAAUCUGCAUUGCAUUUGGAAAGCAGUAGUUCAAGUAUGGAUCCUGGUAUACCUGCAGCUGGACUUUGAUAUAACUACCGUUCAUUACGAAAGACCUGAUGAUGCAGAUAUUAAAUAAAUAGUCCAAAGACUGUGGAGAGGCAGCUGGCUUGGCUGUUGUCACUGCCUGCAGCAGCAUCACCACCACCAUCGUUGCUCUCAUCAUUAUCAUUAUCAACAAGCACUGAUGUUUGUUCUAUCGCUUAUAAGGCACUAUGUUAAAUGUUUGGGCUCCAAUGAAUAACAGUGCACUUAAUUUUAUGUAUAUUUAAUUUUCCAACAAAUGCGGUCUUCCUGCCUCUCUCCUGUCCAUGUAUGGCUUCUAUGCUUUUUAAAUUGAGAAUCUAUUUUUUAUCAAGUAUUAUCUUAUUUUAUCUUUAAAAGAAUAGUGUUAUUAAGAUAGAGUUUGCAGACGUGGAUGGAACUGGAGGGUAUUAUGUUGAGUGAAAUAAGUCAAACAGAGAAAGAUAUGUAUCAUAUGAUCUCACUGAUAUGAGGAAUUCUUAAUUGUAGGAAACAAAC